UAAGGAAUAUUGGUCAAUGGACGCAAGUCUGAACCAGCCAUGCCGCGUGAAGGAAGACGGCCCUACGGGUUGUAAACUUCUUUUGUACAGGAAAAAACCACCGGUCGUGUAUCGGUGCUGAUGGUACUGUAAGAAUAAGGAUCGGCUAACUCCGUGCCAGCAGCCGCGGUAAUACGGAGGAUCCAAGCGUUAUCCGGAUUCAUUGGGUUUAAAGGGUGCGCAGGCGGAAUGAUAAGUCAGUGGUGAAAUCCUACAGCUCAACUGUAGAACUGCCAUUGAUACUGUCGUUCUUGAGUACACUUGGAGUGGGCGGAAUGUGUCAUGUAGCGGUGAAAUGCUUAGAUAUGACACAGAACACCGAUCGCGAAGGCAGCUUACUACGCAUAUAUUGACGCUGAGGCACGAAAGCGUGGGGAUCAAACAGG
Molecule: ribosomal RNA, 425 nt
Filed under: uncultured bacterium
Lineage: Bacteria
Description: bacterial SSU rRNA
Rfam family: Bacterial small subunit ribosomal RNA
Source: RNAcentral